This 544-nucleotide ribosomal RNA is filed under the name Cladosporium colocasiae. RNAcentral describes it as "eukaryotic LSU rRNA". The stretch from base 194 to 347 matches the Rfam family "5.8S ribosomal RNA". Lineage: Eukaryota; Fungi; Ascomycota; Dothideomycetes; Cladosporiales; Cladosporiaceae. The record is from RNAcentral.
AAGGUCUCCGUAGGUGAACCUGCGGAGGGAUCAUUACAAGUGACCCCGGGUCUAACCACCGGGAUGUUCAUAACCCUUUGUUGUCCGACUCUGUUGCCUCCGGGGCGACCCUGCCUUCGGGCGGGGGCUCCGGGUGGACACUUCAAACUCUUGCGUAACCUUGCAGUCUGAGUAAACUUAAUUAAUAAAUUAAAACUUUUAACAACGGAUCUCUUGGUUCUGGCAUCGAUGAAGAACGCAGCGAAAUGCGAUAAGUAAUGUGAAUUGCAGAAUUCAGUGAAUCAUCGAAUCUUUGAACGCACAUUGCGCCCCCUGGUAUUCCGGGGGGCAUGCCUGUUCGAGCGUCAUUUCACCACUCAAGCCUCGCUUGGUAUUGGGCAACGCGGUCCGCCGCGUGCCUCAAAUCGACCGGCUGGGUCUUCUGUCCCCUAAGCGUUGUGGAAACUAUUCGCUAAAGGGUGCUCGGGAGGCUACGCCGUAAAACAAACCCAUUUCUAAGGUUGACCUCGGAUCAGGUAGGGAUACCCGCUGAACUUAAGCAUAU